Long non-coding RNA from Folsomia candida, 500 nucleotides. RefSeq lists it as uncharacterized. NCBI's taxonomy places the organism in Eukaryota, Metazoa, Arthropoda, Collembola, Entomobryomorpha, Isotomidae. The transcript is spliced from 3 exons. The record is from RefSeq and is a predicted model, not a curated record.
AAUUUUAUCUCACUCAUUGAUUACUUUGGCUCCAUUUGAGUUUGAACAAGGAAUUGUAAAAUUUUGUUUUGAUUUAAUAAUUAUAAGUUAUAAAAUAGAUUAAAAUGUUACCUUUAAUAUGCAACUCCCCAGAGGGCAACACGACAAAUUUUCCAUCUUAAUAAAUUACAGUUUGCAGUACCAACCAAAGCUAUUCUGUGGAGUAAAUUCAGUGCCGGAAUUAAACCAAGAGACAACAUGUACGAAGUCUGCGACAAAAGAAGGUUGAGCGACAACUGAAAUACACAAGGAAACAAAAAAAACUGGGUCAGAAAUAUUGUAGCAGAAACUAUCCAGAAACGGAAAAGAAGUGAUCGUUACUAUAUUAUUACUUAUUUAUGACCGCUAAUAAAUCUGUCCUGACAGAAUAUACUAUUUUCCAUACACAUGCCAUGACCAAGUGUUCCUUCUAAAUUGCUUAGUUUGAAUGGCAAAAUUAAAUGACCAACCCUCAAAAACUC